Long non-coding RNA from Parus major (Great Tit), 279 nucleotides. RefSeq lists it as uncharacterized. The transcript is spliced from 2 exons. The record is from RefSeq and is a predicted model, not a curated record. NCBI's taxonomy places the organism in Eukaryota, Metazoa, Chordata, Aves, Passeriformes, Paridae.
CCUCUCUGUAGUAUGGCAGAGUUAAGUUUCUGCUUUCCCUUGGUCUGAUGAUUUUGCCUUUUUGUGGUGGGGUCCCAGCUAAUGCUGCAAAGCUUUCAGUGUUUCUGAAACUCUCAGCCGCCUAUUCUCUGCAACCUCACACCAUAAGUGGCACUACAAAAUGCUGCCUUCUGGAUUUCAGAGGGCCUUCAGAAUUGCUGAGCUACAAGUCCUCUGCACUUCAAUGCUGUCCAAGUCAAGAAUUUGGAAGUGCCUCCAGUGAUACUGGUCAUAAACAGG